Eptesicus fuscus (big brown bat) is the source of this 107-nucleotide small nuclear RNA. Lineage: Eukaryota; Metazoa; Chordata; Mammalia; Chiroptera; Vespertilionidae. The record is from RefSeq and is a predicted model, not a curated record.
GUGCUCAGUUAGACAGCAUAUAUGCUAAAAUUAGAACAAUAAAGAGAAGAUUAGAAUGGCCCCUGAGCAAGGAUGACAUGCAAAUUCAUGAAGCAUUUCAUAUUUAA